This 903-nucleotide ribosomal RNA is filed under the name Umbilicaria altaiensis. RNAcentral's name for it is "partial large subunit ribosomal RNA". It matches the Rfam family "Bacterial large subunit ribosomal RNA", at positions 843 to 1690 of the family's 2925-position model. Lineage: Eukaryota; Fungi; Ascomycota; Lecanoromycetes; Umbilicariales; Umbilicariaceae. The record is from RNAcentral.
UCAUAGCAGGUACAUGAUGUGUUCUUGUACAACUUGCACUCUAAAAAAAGUGCUUUUUGUUCGCGUUCGGGGGGGUCGUGAAGAUCUUAUCUGCAAGUAAUUGUGCUCGGAAGGGUUAUGAUGACUAUAUAAUAAUCAGACAUAGUAUGCUAAGGUAGUAUGUCUAAAGGGAAACAGCCCAGAACAAGAGUUAAUAAGGUUCCAAAAUUAUUGUUAAGUGAAAAUAAGGUAGUUUCAAUGCAAAACGGCCAGGAGAUAGACUUAGAUGCGGCCAUUUUUUAAAGACCUCGUAACAGAGCACUGGUUUAGUAAAUUAUUUAUAUAAUUUAUAUUGAUAAAAGCACCAAAAAUUUAACGGAUCUAAACAAUAUACCGAGACCUUGUCCAUAUUUAUAUAUAUAUCUAAGUUGUAUAUUGUAUUUAUGGGGUAGCGGAACAUUGGGCAAAUCUCAGAUUUUUUCUUUACAAGACUUAAGAUAAGAUAACCCAAGUGAUAAUGCUGACAUGAGUAACGAUAAAGGGAAUGAACUAUUCCCUCGCCUAAAACUUAUGGUAUUUACUUAAAGUAACGGCCUCUAAGUUUAUGAACCUAAAGGACUAAACGAUGAGAAAAUCUACCACUUCAAUUUUUUUUAAGAAAAAAUAAAAAAAAAAAAUAACCUUUGGGCACAGUCUAGCCACAGUUUGGCCUAGGGCACUCUGUGUGGGCACAGGCUUCAAAAAAAUAGAGACUGAUAUGACGAGAGGCUAUAUACAGUUUUGUGCUGAAGUGACGAGGGUUCUGGAAAAUUUGUGUGGUGCAUCAUGCAUAAUAGGCAGGAGGUAAUAUCCUGCCUACAAUGGUGUAAAAAAACCGUACCUAGAAACUACCCCCAGUAAGUUAGUAGAGAAUACGAAGGCGUU